Molecule: small RNA, 131 nt
Filed under: Salmonella enterica subsp. enterica serovar Rubislaw
Lineage: Bacteria; Pseudomonadati; Pseudomonadota; Gammaproteobacteria; Enterobacterales; Enterobacteriaceae
Also listed under: 20 other names
Description: RtT sRNA
Rfam family: RtT RNA
About the family: This family represents a bacterial cis-regulatory element known as RtT RNA.
Source: RNAcentral
UAUCUCUCCGUACGGGGAAGGAUGAGAAGCUUCGACUAAGGUUCGAUUCGAGCGCAGCGAGAAAGCGUUGCCGCAGGCAACGACCCGAAGGGCGAAGCGCGUAGCGCUGAGUCAUCCUUCCCCCACCACCA